UCCAAGGAAGGCAGCAGGCGCGCAAAUUACCCAAUCCCGACACGGGGAGGUAGUGACAAUAAAUAACGAUACAGGGCCCUUUCGGGUCUUGUAAUUGGAAUGAGUACAAUUUAAAUACCUUAACGAGGAACAAUUGGAGGGCAAGUCUGGUGCCAGCAGCCGCGGUAAUUCCAGCUCCAAGAGCGUAUGUAAAAGUUGUUGCAGUUAAAAAGCUCGUAGUUGAACUUUGGGUUUGGUUGGCCGGUCCGCUUUUUUGCGUGUACUGGACCCAACCGAGCCUUUCCUCCUGGCUAACUAGUUGCCCUUGUGGUGGCUAGCGAACCAGGACUUUUACUUUGAGAAAAUUAGAGUGUUCAAAGCAGGCAUUAGCUUGAAUAUAUUAGCAUGGAAUAAUAGAAUAGGACGUUAUGGUUCUAUUUUGUUGGUUUCUAGGACCAUCGUAAUGAUUAAUAGGGACGGUCGGGGGCAUCAGUAUUCAGUUGUCAGAGGUGAAAUUCUUGGAUUUACUGAAGACUAACUACUGCGAAAGCAUUUGCCAAGGACGUUUUCAUUAAUCAAGAACGAAAGUUAGGGGAUCGAAGAUGAUCAGAUACCGUCGUAGUCUUAACCAUAAACUAUGCCGACUAGGGAUCGGGUGUCGUCCUUUUUUUGGCGCACUCGGCACCUUACGAGAAAUCAAAGUUUUUGGGUUCUGGGGGGAGUAUGGUCGCAAGGCUGAAACUUAAAGGAAUUGACGGAAGGGCACCACCAGGAGUGGAGCCUGCGGCUUAA
RNAcentral lists this ribosomal RNA (771 nucleotides) under uncultured fungus. RNAcentral's name for it is "SSU rRNA". It matches the Rfam family "Eukaryotic small subunit ribosomal RNA", at positions 415 to 1193 of the family's 1831-position model. Lineage: Eukaryota; Fungi. The record is from RNAcentral.